AUACGUAGGUGGCAAGCGUUGUCCGGAAUUAUUGGGCGUAAAGCGCACGCAGGUGGUUCCUUAAGUCUGAUGUGAAAGCCCCCGGCUCAACCGGGGAGGGUCAUUGGAAACUGGGGAACUUGAGUGCAGAAGAGGAUAGUGGAAUUCCAAGUGUAGCGGUGAAAUGCGUAGAGAUUUGGAGGAACACCAGUGGCGAAGGCGACUGUCUGGUCUGUAACUGACACUGAGGCGCGAAAGCGUGGGGAGCAAACAGGAUUAGAUACCCUGGUAGUCCACGCCGUAAACGAUGAGUGCUAAGUGUUGGGGGGUUUCCGCCCCUCAGUGCUGCAGCUAACGCAUUAAGCACUCCGCCUGGGGAGUACGGUCGCAAGACUGAAACUCAAAGGAAUUGACGGGG
RNAcentral lists this ribosomal RNA (397 nucleotides) under uncultured bacterium. RNAcentral's name for it is "partial 16S ribosomal RNA". It matches the Rfam family "Bacterial small subunit ribosomal RNA", at positions 523 to 918 of the family's 1533-position model. The record is from RNAcentral.